AGAAGUCGAGAUACAAAAACUUUGAUGAACUAUAUCUUUACUGCUACUAUGUUGCUGGGACAGUCGGUAUAAUGAGUGUUCCAAUCAUGGGCAUUUCUCCAUAUUCACAAGCCACAACUGAGAGUGUUUACAAUGCUGCCUUGGCCCUGGGAAUUGCAAAUCAGUUAACCAACAUACUCAGAGAUGUUGGAGAGGAGUAAGUUCGUAAAUAUUAAUCUUCAUUUAGGUCUUUUAGAAAGGUUGAAGAAAAUACGUGUUGAAUCAAGAUUGUGAAGUUUACUUCUCUCACUCAUUACAUGUCAAUGUCUAACUUGAUUUUUGAUGAUUAUGAGAUGCAUAUCACCUUAUUGAGACACAGGAUAGCUGGACUUUAUUGUCUCAUUAAAAAAGUAAAAGCAUGAGAUGUAUAGGAGUUUCUUUUAUUGUUAACACACCAGUGAGCCAUUCCUGCUAUGUGUGGUUGGGUUUGUCUAACCUGAUUAGCUAGAGAAAUGAAAAAUAGGUGGCUGAAAAUGAAAAAAUAUAGUUGAACUAAUACCAAAUUAUGCUUCAAGGGUACCAUGUUAGUUUAUUCUGAUAUUGAUUUCAAGAAUGAAUCUGCAUCUUAAUUUUGUUACACCCUUCUUAUUUUCAACAGUGCCAGCAGAGGAAGAGUGUAUCUACCUCAAGAUGAGUUGGCUCAAGCAGGGCUUUCGGAUGAGGACAUAUUUGCUGGUAAGGUGACAGACAAGUGGAGGAACUUCAUGAAGCACCAAAUUAAAAGGGCUAGAAUGUUUUUUGAUGAGGCAGAAAAGGGUGUGACGGAGCUUAAU
RNAcentral lists this long non-coding RNA (812 nucleotides) under Phaseolus vulgaris (common bean). Its description in RNAcentral is "long non-coding RNA (PVUL_LNC001875)". Lineage: Eukaryota; Viridiplantae; Streptophyta; Magnoliopsida; Fabales; Fabaceae. The record is from RNAcentral.